RNAcentral lists this ribosomal RNA (253 nucleotides) under uncultured bacterium. RNAcentral describes it as "partial 16S ribosomal RNA". It matches the Rfam family "Bacterial small subunit ribosomal RNA", at positions 524 to 776 of the family's 1533-position model. The record is from RNAcentral.
UACGGGGGGGGCAAGCGUUGUUCGGAAUUACUGGGCGUAAAGGGCUCGUAGGUGGCCAACUAAGUCAGACGUGAAAUCCCUCGGCUUAACCGGGGAACUGCGUCUGAUACUGGAUGGCUUGAGUUUGGGAGAGGGACGCGGAAUUCCAGGUGUAGCGGUGAAAUGCGUAGAUAUCUGGAGGAACGCCGGCGGCGAAAGCGACUCUCUGGCCUGUAACUGACGCUGAGGCGCGAAAGCUAGGGGAGCAAACGGG